This 345-nucleotide unclassified non-coding RNA is filed under the name soil metagenome. Its description in RNAcentral is "partial contains 5.8S ribosomal RNA, internal transcribed spacer 2, and large subunit ribosomal RNA". The stretch from base 1 to 121 matches the Rfam family "5.8S ribosomal RNA", at positions 35 to 154 of the family's 154-position model. The record is from RNAcentral.
GAUGAAGAACGCAGCGAAAUGCGAUAAGUAAUGCGAAUUGCAGAAUUUCCGUGAGUCAUCGAAUCUUUGAACGCACAUUGCGCCCACUGGUAUUCCGGUGGGCAUGCCUGUUCGAGCGUCAUUAUCCUCCCUCAAACCCCGGGUUUGGUGUUGGACCCAAGUUGUGUGAACAACUGGUCUCAAAGACAAUGACGGCGUCCGUGGGACCCUCGGUGCAACGAGCUUUUAGGAGCACGCAUCGAGUUGCAAGGACCUUCCGGGCCGGUCUCCUUUACCAUUUUACAAGGUUGACCUCGGACCAGGUAGGAAUACCCGCUGAACUUAAGCAUAUCAAUAAGCGGAGGA